UACAGAGGGGGCAAGCGUUGUUCGGAAUUACUGGGCGUAAAGGGCGCGUAGGUGGCCUUCUAAGUUGAGCGUGAAAUCCCUGGGCUCAACCCAGGAACUGCGUCCAAGACUGGGAGGCUUGAAUCCGGGAGAGGGAUGCGGAAUUCCAGGUGUAGCGGUGAAAUGCGUAGAUAUCUGGAGGAACACCGGUGGCGAAGGCGGCAUCCUGGACCGGUAUUGACACUGAGGCGCGAAAGCCAGGGGAGCAAACGGG
Molecule: ribosomal RNA, 253 nt
Filed under: uncultured bacterium
Lineage: Bacteria
Description: partial 16S ribosomal RNA
Rfam family: Bacterial small subunit ribosomal RNA
Source: RNAcentral